UCCCGGUUGGCCCGGGCAGUCUCAUGUGAAAAAUUCAACACACGACAAGGGUUGCGCUCGUUGCGGGACUUAACCCAACAUCUCACGACACGAGCUGACGACGGCCAUGCAGCACCUGUCACCUGGCUCCCGAAGGCACAGCACUGUUUCCAGCGCCUUCCAGGGAUGUCAAGCCUCGGUAAGGUUCUUCGCGUAUCGUCGAAUUAAACCCCAUGCUCCACCGCUUGUGCGGGUCCCCGUCAAUUCCUUUGAGUUUCAACCUUGCGGUCGUACUCCCCAGGCGGGGUACUUCCUGCGUUAGCGCCGGCACCCAGAGGGUCGCUCCCCCAGGCACCUAGUACCCAUCGUUUACGGCGUGGACUAC
This 364-nucleotide unclassified non-coding RNA is filed under the name uncultured bacterium. RNAcentral describes it as "contains 16S-23S intergenic spacer region". The record is from RNAcentral.